This 889-nucleotide long non-coding RNA is filed under the name Pogona vitticeps (central bearded dragon). Its description in RNAcentral is "lncRNA (ENSPVIG00000011665.1)". Lineage: Eukaryota; Metazoa; Chordata; Lepidosauria; Squamata; Agamidae. The record is from RNAcentral.
GGCUGAGGAGCUGCAGAACACGCCUGAGGACCCCUCCUUGUCUCCACCACGGGAAUGGCGCUGGAGCGAAGCGAUUCUUCUGGUUGGUUGGAGAGUGGAGGAGGAGAAAGUGGGGCGAAGGCAGAGGAAGGAGCGAAGAUGGAGCUGCACGUUCCGGCGGGCUUUGAAGCAGGGAUGGGCUGUGAGGUCAAAGUGGCUGGGAGCAAUGGGAGAUGCUGGGGAAGCCCGGUGGAGAAGGUCCUCAGAUCCCACUGCCUGUCCCUGGAAGAGGAGAUAAAGCAGGAAGAUGAGGAGGUCCAGGGAACAGUAGCCAAGGUGGACACACAUUUCCAGGAAGGAGAGGAUGCUCCUUCAGACGCCAGGCAGAGGGUUGUGUUCAGAUGGAUUGUCCGUGAGGGUGAUGGAGACACUGCCUCCCUGGGAAAAGAAACGAUGACCAGCAAUAGUGAAACAAGGCUUUGGCAUUCUUCUAGGCUUUCUUCUCUUUUUGGUGGGGUGGAAACAGCCGCUGUGAAGCCACUACAGGUAUGGAAGGCUUACCUGGAGAGACCGGAAAUGGCUAGACUUGUAGCUUGGACUUUUCAGAGAUGGCGAAUUUGUUCCAGGUUUUAAUACGAACUUGAAAGAAGCAAUUCAAGAUCCUGAAUGUAUUUUUGGCGGGUAGGGGUAGACUUCGGAACAUUGGCGGCCUCCUGUAAAGUUUGGAGUAGAAUCUGCCACUAUCAUCCCAUUAAAUCAAUGUCCUUGGCCCACCACUGAAAGGGCGAGAGCCUCUGCAUCCGUCCUGUUGGCCUGUGUUUAAAGCUAAAAGAGGCUGCUCCUAUUUUUGGCCCCAUUCCUUUCCCUUUGGCCCUGCCCACAAUGAGAACAUGAACCAGGAUCUGGUUGU